RNAcentral lists this unclassified non-coding RNA (326 nucleotides) under fungal sp. Its description in RNAcentral is "partial internal transcribed spacer region". The stretch from base 1 to 46 matches the Rfam family "Eukaryotic small subunit ribosomal RNA", at positions 1786 to 1831 of the family's 1831-position model. Lineage: Eukaryota; Fungi. The record is from RNAcentral.
AAGUCGUAACAAGGUUUCCGUAGGUGAACCUGCGGAAGGAUCAUUAACACGUAUCCACGUAUCCACCCAACGCGCACUAGAACCUCCCUGAUUUAACUAGGCAGAAUGAUGAUUUUCGGAUUGUCAAUUUGUUUAGAGCGAUCAGGCUAUUUUUCUAUUUUAUCCAUAUUCACUCUUUGUUUCCUACUUUACUGUCUGAAACAACUACAUCUUAUUUUUUGCUAGUUGACUGAACCCAUAGUUCACUCGAGAAAUUGAGCUGAUACUGAUCAUUAUUUCUAAUAAUGUUUAUUGUACAACUCUUAGCAAUGGAUAUCUUGGCUCUC